This is a long non-coding RNA of Esox lucius (northern pike), 2765 nucleotides long. The record is from Ensembl. NCBI's taxonomy places the organism in Eukaryota, Metazoa, Chordata, Actinopteri, Esociformes, Esocidae.
UCACAGUUCCAGUGGGUCAGAAGUUUAUAUACACUAGUUGAACAGCUUAGAAAAUUCCAUAAAUGUAUGUCAUGGCUUUAAAAGCUGCUGAUAGGCUAAUUGACAUAAUUUGAGUCAAUUGGAGGUGUACCUGUGGAUGUAUUUCAAGGCCUACCUUUUUCAUCCUUGGGAGCAAUAAUACCUAAAUUUUAAUACCUAAAUGUACCACGUUCAUCUGUUCUAACAAUAGUACACAAGUACAAACUCCAUGUGACCACACUGUCAUCAUACUCCUCAGGAAGGAGAUGCGUUCUGUCUCCAAGAGAUGAACGUACUUUGGUGUAAUAACUCUACCAUACAAAGAAGGUUUCCUUUACAGCUUUUUGCGGAGGGACAUUAAACGACUGAGGGCCUGGUCCCUGUUGUUGGGCAAACACUGUCUGGGGUUGCGGAAUGGGAGUGGAGCUACCCAAUUAUUCGAAUCAUCUUUUGUUAAGUCUUUGUGCAUGAUGUCCAAGAACAAAGCAUCUUCUGCUGAAAGUGCCACUUUGUCAUCAUCUGCUGUUUGCUGGAAAAUGUGUCUGCCCAAUUCAACUUGUGUCUUAUCAAGUGUAUGACAGCUUUCUGUGUAUUUGUCUUUGAUGUAGAUUUUGUUUUCACAGGGGCUGAGGAAAGUAGGGCGACCGUUGUCAAGAAUGUUUGUCUUAAAAGAGUUCACUGUGGGUUUGUGGGCACCCGAGAGGCAGACAUCACCUAUAACCACCCAUCGCAGAUCAAGGCGUUGGGCAUAAGGCGCACUGUUUGGGCCAUUCACCUGACUGCGGACCUUGUGAGCUUGGAUGAUGUCCCUGCCCAAGAGGAGAAGGAUUUCUGCUGAUGGGUCCAGAGGAGGAAUCUGCGAAGCGAUUGCCUGUAGAUGAGGGUUAGCCGACGCAGCCUCAGAGGUGGGAAUCUCGUCCCUGUUAUCUGGAAUCUGAUCACAUUCUGUUAGUAUGGGCAGCAGCAUGGACACUUUUCCAUUUGCAUCCUCAAUAACAAAGUCACUAGCUCUGCGCCCUCCAGUCUCCGAUAGACCAGCGCAUGUUUUCAUGGUGUAUGGGAGUAUGGUACCUUUUACAUUAAACAUGUCAAAGAAGGCAGACCUGGCUAAGGAUGCUUUGAUCAUCUAACAUGGCGUACAUCCUCCUUUUCUCUUCAGGCGAAGUGCGGGAAUACACAUUGACUAAGCAAAUCUUAGAGCAGGAUUUACCUUUGAGGCCUCGGCCACACACUUCUGUGCAACUAGUUGUAGUUGCAGGGCUUGGGGAAUCGGACUCCCCGCCGUGGCUCUGAAGCAGAGGGUUAGAGUCUUUAGGCGUCCACGGAGGUGGACCAACAUGCAUGGCAGACACGUGCGCAUCACUAUUACAUUCUGAGCAUUGGAUAAUGGCUUUACAGUCUUUAGCUCUGUGACUUGUGGAAGAACAACACUUAUAACAAAUAGCGUGUUCUUUGAGAAUACCUUUUCUUUCGUCCAGUGUUUUUUACCUAAAUCCCCUGCAUUUAGCGAGCGAAUGAGGCUUGUGGUGAAUAGGACAUUGCUUGUCCGGAUUACGAACGGAUGCUUGAGCUGUGCUGUUAGUUUGACUAAUAUAUGUUUUGUUCACUGCAACAGGAACUCUGUAUCUGUUUGGUUUUAUCAGUGUCUUGUCAACUCUUGGAGCUACUAUGUUAGCGCUUUGUAAAAUAAAGCUAGGGUCUGUUUUCAUAUCAGCAUAGUUAUUUACAAACUGAACGAAGAAUGAGAAAGGUGGGUAAACUGCACCAUUGUCUCUUUUGUAUUUUGUCCCUUGUUUUACCCAUGACUCCUGGAGUCCGUAAGGGAGCUUUUCAACUAUCGGGUUUAUCCCCCUUGGGGUGUCAAGAAAGCUAAGGCCUGGCAGAUAACCUUCAUUUCGUGCAUAUUCUAACACUAGCAGAAGAUCUGCAAGCUCCUGCAGCUGGUGAGCAUCUUUAUUGGAUAUCUUUGGAAAAGCCUGUAAGCGUUGGAAGAGUGACGCUUCGACUACCUCUGGAGAGCCAUAACUCUUGUCUAGACGCUGCCACAAACGUUGGAGGCCUGCUUGUGGGUUGUUCACGUGGACCGCCCUGAUCCUCAGGGCGUGUUGAAGUGAUUCCCCGCUGAGCCACUUGGUUAGAAGGUCAAGCUCUUCGCUGGGCUUGAGGUUGAGGCCUUCUAUGGCGUUGCAGAAGAUGGACUUCCAGGACAAGUAGGACUCAGGGCGGUUGUCGAAAACCUUGAAUCCCGCUGUCAGUAGAUCACGGCGUGCUAGAUAGGCUGCUAGAUCCGGCAGCUCAGUCUGUGGAGUCGCUGAAGGUCUAGGCUGAGGUGGAAUGUCCAUUUUUAUGUGUGUAGGGGGGAACUUCAGCUGCUCCCGGUCUACAAAAUCAAUGAGAUGUUCACCUGGAGCGGUAGCGACUGGUGUUUGGCUCUGUUGUAGAUGGUGAGAGUCGUUAUGACUGACCAGUUGUUUUUUGUCAGGCUUUUCUUCUUGUUUCACUAGCGAACUGAAGUCGGCGAAGUGAGCAUUCACAUAGUCUUGAGCACGUCUGAUGGAAGGAGGCGUCUUAGGGAGAUGCCUUGCUCAGUGAGGUCGGUUCCAGGAAUGACAGAACACAGUUUUUUUCUUAGUGCCUUUACUGAAGACCUCUCUUUUUUGAUUGAUUUGUAAAACUAUUAUGGCAUGUCAAGCUUCCCAAAGAUAUAAGAGGUAUGAGAGGAGUGAAGCAUGUCAGCACCUCCGGAC